UUGUAACUCAAAAUUUAGUACAUUAUUAUUGCAUUGAAUAAGGAAAUGUAAGAAACUUUUUAAGAGGUGCCACAUAGCACAAUGGAGGUCUAAAAGUAAUCUAAACUUUGCUUAUAGAGAUACAUAGAGAUAUAGAUGCCAAUGUAAUAUGUUUUACAUCAUUUUAUUUGUGUUUGGACUAUAUAUAUAUAUAAUACAAAAGUUGUAUGUGUAUUAAUGGAUGGUCCCGCCUAGUUCUUUUUCCCCUGUCAUAGUAAAAUAAAAAGUCAAAAAAUUAUAAGCUAAGAGGCAAUUUAUUAUAGCUUAUUUUAAAAAAAAAAUCACUUUUUUUUAUAAAUAUAAUCACUUUUUAUUGUUUUGUGUCUGUUUGUUACAGAUUUUUAAAAUAAUCAUAAGCUAAAAAUAAUCAGAAAACAACUAAAAAUGAGAAGCUACUAAUGGUCCGUUUGUUACAUAUUAAAAAAAUAGUGAUUUUGAUGUAAAAUAAUUUAGAGAUUAGUUUUUAGAGAUUUUUAGAAAAGUUGAAUUUACUUUGUGUUUGUUUAUUAUAAUGAAAAUCACUUUUUUUAAAUAAAAUAAUCUUUAGNNNAUCUGUUUGUUACAGAUUUUUAAAAUAAUCAGAAAACAGCUAAAAAUGAGAAGCUACUAAGAGUAGCUUAAAAAUAAUAGAUUUUUUUUAGAGGAGAGAGAAAAGAAAUAUUAAAAGAAGAAAGUUGUUUGUAAUAAAAAAAUCACUUUUAUAAGUUGUAUCCAAACAAACUAAAGAUUAUUUUAUUUAAAACAUAUGAUAAACCAUUUAGUAUAGAAAUAUUGCUAUUUGUUUUUGACAAAAAUAGAAAUAUUGCUCUUAAGAGUUGGACAUUUAAUUUUUAAAAAGUCAAAUAGUUGUAUUUUAUAAUGUAAUAAUUCCACUUUUAAAUUUCUUAACAUAUAUCUUCAAGGCACGCAUUAAUAGAUCCAUAAAAUUAUAGACGAAACAAGAUAACUUUUCAACUAACCUAUUUCGCAAUAACAAAUAUUAGAAACACAUUUCCCUUCACCACAAGAAAAACACUUCCCAACUUUUGGAGAGUCACAUAACUUAUCUGGACAGUCAUAAUCAGUCUUGCAGCUACUAAUUACUAGUUCUGUGAUGUGAAAAAUAUAUAAAAGAAUGUUAAUAAAAUAUGAUAAUUUUAUUUUGUUCCAAUGAUGAUUUUUUUAAAUACGAAAACAUCAUAUUAAGAUAUUAAUAACAAUUGCACUAGUGAAUACUACAUAUUUUGGACAAUUCUAACAUUGGCACAAACCAAAAUAAAAAAUAUUUGGGUGCAUACACAUAAUUGAAAAAAAGUUAAAUGCAAAAUAUUUUAAUAACAUCACUGGAUAUUAUUUAUUCAUUUUUUGUAUUAUUUUNNNNNNNNNNNNNNNNNNNNNNNNNNNNNNNNNNNNNNAUAAUUUAUAUUUUAGAGUUGUGUCCAAAUAAAAAUACCUCACUUAUUUUACAAAUGUUUUAAUUUGAAUUUAAAUUUUCUCUUGAUAUUACAACAUCAAUCUAACUACAAACUUGAUACCUCUUAGACUAAAAGAUUAUGCAAUUUUAAUUUGUGUAUAAGAAAAGAAACAUAAAAGGGGCUUACCAAUUGGGUUAUCAGAGCUGGUUACAACAUGAAACAGUGAAAGAAAAAUGGACAUCANNAAUCAUAGUUAGUCUAUUUUUUUUAUCAAACUUUUAUUAUUAUUUGUAUUUCUUUUGAUCAUUCAUGAUAGACAAGGGAAGUACCAAAAUGAGAAAUAAUAUGUUUUAAACAAUUGCAAAAUGUUGAUUGUCAAAAAAAAAAACAAUUGCAAAAUGUUGGGUCAUGAGGGGUUCAUGGAUCAUCACAUCGGGCCUUGAACAACUACACAAGUGAGUUGGACAUCAUGCUUUUACCUAAAAUUUUAAGAUAUUAGGUUUUUGGGUCAUCUCACUUAUAAAUCAUUCAACAUUCACUAUUUGAUCUGAUGUGGGACUUAACUCACACUUGAAAUACCAAUAUCUCCCCCCUCAAGUGUGAGUUCAUCCAUUAUUUUAUGGGUAUGCUCCCCCUCGAACGGAAGCUUUUCAUCCACUUGUACUGUUGUUGCUUAGUCUCAACGGGACACGUCGCCUAAACAUCUUGUCAAGAAGACUUUAGACACAAGGAAUCGGAUCAACAAUCAUCGGCUAUGAUACCACUGUGGGGUCAUGAGGGGGCCCGGGGGAUUAUCACAUCCUUGCCCUUUCCACAAUCUGCAAAGCAAGCUUGAAACGAUUGAUAUCUAUUUGAACUUAAGGGGAUGACUAAACUUAAAGUUAGGUGGUAACUAAUUAACUAACUUAUCUCAUGUUUGUUAAGAUUAGUUUCAUUUCGUAACUACUCUAGUUAGAUUGAUCUUAGUUCUUGAGAUGUAUAUAUAAAUAUGAGGCCUAUCAUUUGUAUCAAACUGUUUUGUGAAUAAAUUAAUUUUAUAGUUUCUAUGCGCCCAUAUAUCUCGCAUCUAUUUUCUGUGUGCUUCUUCAAACCUUUCCUGCGCUCAUUUUUUAAAUCAAUGAAGCUCAAUCUUUUCCUGGGUAUGGGGGUUAAUAAAAGUUGUGUGGUUGUUAAUUUGGCAAAUGCUAAUUAAAUAGAUUUGAGAGGUUGUUAAUUUGGUAAACUAUUAUGUGGGCUAUUUGGAACUCAUGAAAUGAUUUACUCUUUUCAGAAGGUACUUUUUAUGUUGAGUGUUUGGUCGAUAAAGUGAAACUUUUAUCUUGGAAAUUAAAUAGUUUUUAGGUAAAAAUUAUGGCAUCGCGUGUUCCUUUUACAAGUGGAAUAUCCACCCUAUUUUUUGCUUAAACUAGGUCUUCGCGAGGUCUGGCUAAUUAGAGGUCUCUUGAUGGAUGAUCCUUGCCUCUAUCUGAUCUAAGGGGUUUUGGAUUUUCUUGUAAUCGGAAGUUAAAG
Molecule: long non-coding RNA, 2942 nt
Filed under: Trifolium pratense (red clover)
Lineage: Eukaryota; Viridiplantae; Streptophyta; Magnoliopsida; Fabales; Fabaceae
Description: long non-coding RNA (TPRA_LNC001729)
Source: RNAcentral